UACGAAGGGGGCUAGCGUUGCUCGGAAUUACUGGGCGUAAAGCGCACGUAGGCGGUCUUUUAAGUUGGGGGUGAAAUCCUGGAGCUCAACUCCAGAACUGCCUUCGAUACUGGAAGACUUGAGUCCGGGAGAGGUGAGUGGAACUGCGAGUGUAGAGGUGAAAUUCGUAGAUAUUCGCAAGAACACCAGUGGCGAAGGCGGCUCACUGGCCCGGUACUGACGCUGAGGUGCGAAAGCGUGGGGAGCAAACAGG
Molecule: ribosomal RNA, 253 nt
Filed under: uncultured bacterium
Lineage: Bacteria
Description: partial 16S ribosomal RNA
Rfam family: Bacterial small subunit ribosomal RNA
Source: RNAcentral